Molecule: unclassified non-coding RNA, 671 nt
Filed under: uncultured bacterium
Lineage: Bacteria
Description: partial may contain 16S ribosomal RNA, 16S-23S ribosomal RNA intergenic spacer, and 23S ribosomal RNA
Rfam family: tRNA (bases 108-181)
Source: RNAcentral
UCGGAAGGUGCGGCUGGAUCACCUCCUUUCUCGAGCUGAACGUGUCAAACGUUGAGCGCUCACGCUUAUCGGCUGUGAAAUUAAGACAGAUACGCAGACAGACUCAGGGGUCUGUAGCUCAGUUGGUUAGAGCACCGUCUUGAUAAGGCGGGGGUCGAUGGUUCGAAUCCAUCCAGACCCACCACUGUUUCUGCGGUGGCUGCAGCUAACCGGUGAAGACCCCGGGACGAUCAGAUGCGUUAUCUGUAUGACUGGGGGAUUAGCUCAGCUGGGAGAGCACCUGCUUUGCAAGCAGGGGGUCGUCGGUUCGAUCCCGUCAUCCUCCACCAAUCUUCAAUGCGUAGCGUUCUGCUGAAGUGGAAAGCAGAGCGUUUUGCAUUGGCGAUUGAGCCAGUCAGAGUGAUAUGAAGCAGAGCUUUAUAUCGGCUGUCGUUCUUUAACAAUCAGGAAGAAGUAGUAAAGAGAUUCACGAAAGGACACCUGGAGAUGGGUGUGCGAGUAGGUGAAUCAGGGUUGUGAUUGUAUCAAUGUAUGAAAAGGUGAUCGAAAGAUUGCUUUGGAAUACGGCGCAACACGAAUACUCAACCUGUAGCGAUUGUGAGGAACACGUCAUCCCCAGUGGGUGGUGUGGGAGACACACCCGUUAUAGGGUCAAGCGAACAAGUGCAUGU